UAGGGAAUCUUCGGCAAUGGACGAAAGUCUGACCGAGCAACGCCGCGUGAGUGAAGAAGGUUUUCGGAUCGUAAAACUCUGUUGUUAGAGAAGAACAAGGACGUUAGUAACUGAACGUCCCCUGACGGUAUCUAACCAGAAAGCACGGCUAACCACGUGCCAGCAGCCGCGGUAAUACGUAGGUGGCAAGCGUUGUCCGGAUUUAUUGGGCGUAAAGCGAGCGCAGGCGGUUUCUUAAGUCUGAUGUGAAAGCCCCCGGCUCAACCGGGGAGGGUCAUUGGAAACUGGGAGACUUGAGUGCAGAAGAGGAGAGUGGAAUUCCAUGUGUAGCGGUGAAAUGCGUAGAUAUAUGGAGGAACACCAGUGGCGAAGGCGGCUCUCUGGUCUGUAACUGACGCUGAGGCUCGAAAGCGUGGGGAGCAAACAGG
RNAcentral lists this ribosomal RNA (428 nucleotides) under Gemmatimonadota bacterium. RNAcentral's name for it is "Gemmatimonadetes bacterium partial 16S ribosomal RNA". It matches the Rfam family "Bacterial small subunit ribosomal RNA", at positions 355 to 776 of the family's 1533-position model. Lineage: Bacteria; Pseudomonadati; Gemmatimonadota. The record is from RNAcentral.